AAUCCCCCGGGGUUUCUCUUCCCCGCGUUGUAUAACAAACCCAUUGCCAACCUGCUUGCCUUCCGGUGGGGCUUAUGCGCGGGGAAAAGAAAACAAACCCAGCAUUGACUCCGUCCGUCGCGGCGAGUGACGCCGCGCCAGCUCAAAUUUGCAAUCUGGCUCUCGGGCCCGAGUUGUAAUAUGUAGAGGAUGCUUUGGGCGAGGUGCCUUGUGAGUUCCCUGGAACGGGACGCCAGAGAGGGUGAGAGCCCUGUAUAGUCGGACACCUAGCCUCUGUAAAGCUCCUUCGACGAGUCGAGUAGUUUGGGAAUGCUGCUCAAAAUGGGAGGUAGAUCUCUUCUAAAGCUAAAUAUAGGCCAGAGACCGAUAGCGCACAAGUAGAGUGAUCGAAAGAUGAAAAGCACUUUGAAAAAAAGGGUUAAAUAGCACGUGAAAUUGUUGAAAGGGAAGCGCUUGUGACCAGACUUGUGCCGGGCUGAUCAUCCACCGUUCUCGGUGGUGCACUCGACCCGGCUCAGGCCAGCGUCGGUUCUCGUAGGGGGAUAAAAGCUUCGGGAACGUGGCUCCUUCGGGAGUGUUAUAGCCCGCUGCUAAUACCCCUGUGGGGACCGAGGUUCGCGCUCUGCAAGGACGCUGGCAUAAUGGUCAUCAGCGACCCGUCUUGAAACACGGACCAAGGAGUCGAGGUUUUGCGCGAGUGUUUGGGUGUAAAACCCGCACGCGUAAUGAAAGUGAACGUAGGUGAGAGCUUCGGCGCAUCAUCGACCGAUCCUGAUGUUCUCGGAUGGAUUUGA
RNAcentral lists this ribosomal RNA (794 nucleotides) under uncultured fungus. Its description in RNAcentral is "eukaryotic LSU rRNA". It matches the Rfam family "Eukaryotic large subunit ribosomal RNA", at positions 1 to 793 of the family's 3401-position model. Lineage: Eukaryota; Fungi. The record is from RNAcentral.